Molecule: unclassified non-coding RNA, 288 nt
Filed under: Glomeraceae sp.
Lineage: Eukaryota; Fungi; Glomeromycota; Glomeromycetes; Glomerales; Glomeraceae
Description: partial contains 5.8S ribosomal RNA and internal transcribed spacer 2
Rfam family: 5.8S ribosomal RNA (bases 1-71)
Source: RNAcentral
GUGAAUCAUCGAAUUUUUGAACGCAAAUUGCACUCUCUGGUAUUCCGGAGAGUAUGCCUGUUUGAGGGUCAGUUUAAAUAAAAAUCGUUGUGGUUGCUGCCUUUCUUGGUGACGCACCGGAUUUGGUUCUUUUUGCCUUGGGUUAAGUGACUUAAAUUUUUGCAUGAUUUUUUUCGAACUUUUUUAAAUUUUUUUACGUUCGUUUUCUCUAUUGCAUACUAGGUUUGGUCAUCCCCAUGAUUCGCGCCUAUAAUUUUUCAUUAAAUUAACCUCAAAUAAGUUAGGAUU